RNAcentral lists this long non-coding RNA (29637 nucleotides) under Gossypium raimondii (Peruvian cotton). RNAcentral describes it as "long non-coding RNA (GRAI_LNC003376)". The record is from RNAcentral. Lineage: Eukaryota; Viridiplantae; Streptophyta; Magnoliopsida; Malvales; Malvaceae.
GGGACCACGCCAAACCACCUUUUUAACCCCUUUUUUUUUAAAUCUGAAGGCGAAGCCUUUCUAAAACAAAAGAGAAUAAGCCUUGACCCCGUUGGUUCGAUUUCAACGCCGAAAAAAGGGCUGCCGACGACGAAACUGCAAGGUGGUUCAAGUGAACCUUUUCUUUUUUCUUUUUUUUUAUUUUUGUAUAUAAAAGAAUAAAUAGAAACCUAAAAAUAAGAUAAAACAGGAAUAAAAAAAUAAAAAUCACCUUUGAAGUUUUUUUUUAUUUUCUUAUUUUCGUAAAAAAGGGAAGAACAUUACAAGCAUCAGAUUAAGGCCUUUAUAGCCGAAAUACAAGAUUCAUUUUUUUGUUUUCUUUUCUAUUGUUUGGUUGUGCUUCUUUAUUUUUUCGAUGUCUUCUCUGCUUGCGUGUUGUUUGCUGUUUUGCAGGUGUCAGACAAGUGGAUGGCCGGUGAUAGGCGAGCCUCGAGUAGCGGUAGCGUGCGGCACAAGUAGUUUUGACAUGCGGCGUUGGAGGCUUAGGGAGCUAGGGUUUUUUGUUGUGUUUAAGUGUUGGGCUAAUUGGGCUAGGGUUAGUUUUGGGUUAUUGGGUUUUAAUUUGUAUUUGGGCUGCUAAUUUGGGCUUGUUUUAUUUAUUUGGUUUGUUUUAUUUUAGAAUUGGCCCAUGUGAAAAUUGGCCCAUUAUAGUCAAUAUUUUGUAUCAAUCGAUUUGGGCCGGCGCGUACUAAUUAUUAACCCAAAUGGAUUGAAAUACACUGAACUGGCCGAAGCACAUCGAAAUUUUAACUGGAACGGAACAUAGAUUAAUUGAUAUUGAUUUAAGACUGAAACGAUACAUACCGAUUACCAUGUUGCAACUUUAUAUUCUUAGCUCAUAUAUUAUUGAAUUAUCAGCAAGAAUUCCUCUAACUCUCUACCAUCUACCUUUAGUAAUUAUUUUUUAUUUGUAAAAUAAAGAUAUGUAUUAGAUAAAACAUGCGAAUGAUAGAAAUUUUUAACUUAGCAUAUGGACUCACGGCUUGAGUUUCAAAGAAUUUGAGAAACCCAAGGUUGUUUUCGCCUUCACGUAUAUAGCUUAAGUAGCCAUUAUUGUCGCUGGGUUUGAGGACGAUAAACUUGGGCAAGGUCAAUGCCAUUUGAAUGGAUGAUUCUCUUUGUUGUGUUUCACUUUCACUCUUGUGUCUUGCUUACAACAACGAGCUUGGCUACCUAUUUAUAUCUAUAAUAAAAGGCUAAUAUUGUCCAUCACAUGGAAAAUUUGUCAUCUCGAAGGAUGGAUGGAAAGUUUAACAGGACAAAAUUAGGUAGGUAUGGAAGAAAAUGAAAAAGUUUACUUAAUGAUUUAUUUAAAGUAAUUAGCUAUUACAGUGAUUUGUUGAUUGAUUUAGGAUUUUAAAAAUAGGGUGAAUUUUUUAAAAUAAAAAUAUUUAAAUAACUAUUUUAAUUGUAGUUUUGAAAUGAUUUUUUAUAAGUACAAUUUAUAUUUUGGAAUUACAAUCAGACUCAAUGCGUACAAUGUAUAAACAAAAUUACAAUUAUACCGGCAGGGUAAAUUGAGUUAGUGCAGAGGUGUCUAUUAUAUUAGAACGUGAAAAAUGAAAAUGGUUAUGAGGUUAUUGUAUUUGGAGGCCCCAAAAUUAGGUAGCACACCAGACAAAAACAGGUACGUAGUCAAGUGGUGUAAAAUAAAUACUAUUAAAUGUUUAAGCCAUAAAUGUUAACCCAUUUAAAACCCAAAAUAAAAUUGAUUGCUUCUAAAUUCUAAAUAUAAUUUUUAUUAUAUUUUUACAUAUUUUAUAAUUAAAUAAAAAAACUCUUAAGUCUAAUUUCAAUGUUAUUUUCUCACGAAUUCGUUGCUUAUUUAUUAUUAUUGUUAAAACUUUCAAGAAUUCAAGUGUUCAUCUCUUUUUUUGCUUAUUAUGUAUUGUUAAAAUUUUUAAACUUUUAGUUAUCAUUAUUCACAUUUCCAAGUUGGGUGUUUUUUUUUUUCUGUCAUUACACAUUAAGAGUUAUAAAAUACAAAUAAUUUAGCAUUUGAUUAUGUUCAGUGAAGAUGGAGAGUGAUUAAAUCAAGGUCUAAUUAGAUUUUUAAUAAACAUUUAUAAUUAUAUAUGUCAAAUAAAUAUAUUAAUUGUAAUUUUAUGUAUAAUUGAAAAGAAUUUUAAAUUUGUCAAAUUGUGUUUAAGAAACAUAAAAAAUUUUGUUUUUUUUUUGGAAGAAUUUAAUUAAAUAAUAUGAUAUUAAUCUAAAAUAUGGAACUCAGUUGGAUUUAAGCCAAAAUUAGGUAGGUAAGGAACAAAAUGAAAGUGAGUAAAAGUUUAUUUAAUGAUUUAUUUAAAGUAAUUAGCCAUUACAGUGAUGUGAUUUGUUGAUUGAUUUAAGAUUUUAUAAAUAGGGUGAAAAAUUUUAAAAUAAUUAUUUUAAUUGUGGUUUUGAAAUGAUUUUUUUAUAAGUACAAUUUGCAUUUUGGAAUUACAAUUAGACUUAAUGUGUACAAUGUACAAACAAAAUUACAAUUAACCAGCAGGAUAAAUUGAGUUGGUACAGAGGUGUCUAUUAUAAAAGAAUGUGAAAAAUGAAAAUUGUUAUCAGGUUGUUAUAGUAGGAGGCCCCAAAAUUAGGUAGCACACCAGACAAAAACAGGUAGUGAAGUGGUGUAACAUAAAUACUAUUAUAUAUAUACACACAUAGUUUUGUAGUUACUCACCUCUUGUCAAUUUCGCUGAUCUGACUAAAAUUAUCAUGCGAGUAGUGGACUUGGGUAAAAAACUCGAUAAUAUUGAAAAACUGAGUUAAAAUGAUCAUUUAAUUCGGUUCAAUUUUUUUUAUAGUUCGGUUGGAUUUCGAUUAGUAGCGUUAUUUAACUAUAUUAUUUUGAUUUAAUUUCAGUUUAUUUUAUUGGAUAUUGAAAAGUCGAAAAAAAUAAUACUUUUUUGAAUAUAUAAGCUAUAUUAACCCUUUUAAAACCCAAAACAAAAUUCAUUGCUUCUAAAUUUUAAAAAUAGUCUUUUAUUAUACUUUUAUAUAUUUUAUAAUUAAAUAAAAAAAACUUAAGUCUAAUUUCAAUGUCAUUCUCUCACAAAUUCAUUGCUUAUUAUGUAUUGUUAAAACUUUUAAAAUUUUGGCUAUCAUUUUUAACAUUUCCAAGUUGAGUGUUUUUUUUUUAUAUCAUUACAUAUUAAGAGUUAUAAAAUACAAAUAAUUUAACAUUUGAUUAUGUUCAGUGAAGAUGAAGAGUGAUUAAAUCAAUGUUUAAUUAGAUUUUUAAUAAACAUUUAUAAUUAUAUAUUUCAAAUAAAUAUAUUAAUUGCGAUUUUAUGUAUAAUUGAAAAGAUUUUUAAAAUUGUCAAAUUCUGUUUAAGAAAUAUAAAAAAGUUUGUUAUUUUUCAGAGGAAUUUAAUUAAAUAAUAUGAUAUUAAUCUAAAAUAUAGAACUUAGUUGGAUUUAAGCCAACUUGAUUCUUUAGCAUGAAAAUGGCAUUAGUUUAAAAUGAGCACAAUACGAAUGGUGUUAUAUGCUCUUCUUGUUUAGUAGGUUUUAGAGGUACAUUAAGGAAUAUUAAAAAAUGAACAUUUUUAAAUAUUUUUCCUUUUCUUUUUGAAAUUUUUAGAAUUAGAGCUAAAUUGUCAUAUUAUGUAAAUGUUGAGAGCUAAAUUUAUUGAUUUUUUAGAAUUCAAACUAAAAUGACAAAUUUUGUAAACAUUAAGGGUUAAAUUUGUUGAAUUUUUUAGAUUUAGAAUCAAACCGAUAUAAUGUAUAAAUAUUGAAAGGCUAAAUUUAUUAUUAAGCCAAUAUAAACGAGCCCAUGUCAACUUUCUGUCACUCAUCUAAAGGCAACUAAUAGGGCAGUGGCUAAAAUAUUUAAUUUUGAAAAAUUAAGUGACUAAAUCGAAAAAAUUAAUAGUUGAGUGACCAAAUUAGAAGCAAAGGCAUAAUUGGAUGACUAUUUUUUAUAGUUUUUGAUAAUUUUUCAAUUGAAUUGGAAAUUGAUUGAUGGAUAACACCAACUCAUUUAAGGGAAAGGAUUGUAUGAAACAGUGACGCCACAUCAUCUGUAUCAUUUUACCAAUAAUUUAAUACCACAUCAGCAUUUUUAUCUUGAACAAAAAAAAAUCAAAUCUAAAUGAAAAUCCUGAAAAUCAAGAUAAAUUUGCUGAUACGGCGUUAAACUAUUACAAAUUAGUAAUAAUAUCCAUAUUCAUACAAUCCUUUCUCAUCUAUCAAGAUAUAAUAGAUUCUUAACAAAAUCUUUCAUUAGUUAAAUUAAUAAACAAAACUAAGGAAUUUAGGAUGAUGUGAAAAACUGGGUUUGCUUCUUAAAUAACAUGUCAUGGCCUUGAAUUUAACAUACCAAGUAUCCAAUUUGAACUACUAAUAAAAUUACUUGAUAUGAUAAUCUAAUGCAUUUAUUGCAGAUUUUAAUGUAUUUAUUGUAACUUCUUUGUUUUUAUUCUAAUAUAGCUUGGAAAGAGUAUUUUUCAAGUAUGGAAAGGUAUUAAUUUGUUUCUUGCUUUAGCAAAGUUCGAGAAUCCUUUGACAUCAAGCUUCUCUUUAUAUAAACUAACACAAACGGCAAAUCAUAUAAGAAAAACCUAACUAAACCCCAUACCAAAUCUAGCUUAUUUGAGUUCAAUUUUGGGUCCUUUUUUGCUUUAGAAAUCAAUGACCAUGAUUCAAGGUCUUGUUUUAAGUUUGAUUAAAGACGAAUUGGGUUUGUCGGCAGCAAUAGAAGAUCUCCUAGAAGAAAAUAAACAUCAGGUUAACAAUCACAAGGGAAAUCAAGUAGACCGUGGCGAUGAAACCGAUGAAGGUGUUGAUUCAAGUAAGGUUGAAACGUUACAAAUAAGUCCGAUAUACUAUACACUGAGAGACCUAAUGGAUUUACAAGACGAAGAUAUCGAUGCAUUUUCUUUUCGAAGUGUCACCGUUGUCCACAAUGCCUCUUUCUCUAGAAUUGGCUACCUCCCUCCAACAAAUGAAGGUAUUGUCUCGUAAUUUUUUAUUUUUUAUUUUUUGCAAGCAAUUAGUAUCUCUUUUCGUUUACAUUAUUCUUAUCCCUAAAUUAUAUUUAAAAAUUAAAAAAAUUAGAAUAUGUAGCAAAAUUUGAACCUCGGUUUGUGAAGUUAAAUUUCAACCAAAAUGUACCAAAUAAUUAUUUUUAUUUAUACCCAAUUUUUAUUUAUAUGUUUCUACAAAUUUGUUGAAUACAAAUGAGAAAUUUAAAAAGAAAAAAUUGUAAGGGUUCUAUUUGAUUAAGGAGGUAAUAAGGUUGAUAAUUUAGUUAUUUUGUCACUUGAGCGGGCAGGUUAAUUUUGAAUUAGAUCAAUAUAGAUCUAAUUAAUUUGAGUUCUAAAAUUUUUGAGUCACUCGGGUUAUGUUAGAUUUGUAUCAUUCAAGUUUGUCAAUCGAAUUUUUAAGUUAACUUAUCUCAAGUUACUUACUUGAAUCAUUUCUGGUUAUACUCAUUUUUUGAGCUAUUGAGUAUAAAUUCGAAUUAAUCUGGUCUCAUUUUUGUAUUGGGCUCAAAAUUCAAUUUGUGUAACCAUAUAUUCCAUGCUCGAAUUUUUUUUUCUCAGAAAAACCAGAAGUAGAAGUGAACCUUAAUUUGGAGAAGGAAGACACUGAACUAGAGGCAUGCCUUUUAUUAAGCUUACCAGAACCAUCAUUCAGGACAUGGAUGGAACCAAGUGGUGAAGCAGACACCACCAUAACUCCUGGUCCUUCAGACAACAUGAUCACAAGACAUGAACCUCCCUCAGCAGGGUUUUCACUUCUGCUAUAUUUGUCUUGAUUCUCCUCCUUGCACUCUCGAUUAUCGUGUUUACUCAUUUUUUAGAAUGGUUAGGUAACGGGUUUUCUACACUAGAUGGAUCAUCGAAUUUAACAAUACCCAUUUUGAUGAGUCUUUCAAUUAUCUUUUUAAAAACGGUGCAGUUCUUGAUCGAGUAUCAUGUAAUUCUCGCGUGGUACUCACAUUGGGCGUUUGCAUCGUACCAUUUGGGGUAUGGGGGCUACAUAGGUUUUAGGUAGAAAGAAGAUACUACAUGUGCAUCAAACAAACUUUGGUACAACUCCCCAUACGUGAUUGGGAUAGGUGUGAACCGGAGUUUUUCUGAGUUUGGUCUUGGAUUGGGUUCUUGCCAUAGGGGGAUCUAAUGGCUAGUAGUUGUCGUCCUUGGCUGGCUUACGAUAAUCGAAUUUGAAUAGCCCUUGUUAUACAUAUCCGCAUUAUUCACCUUAUUUUCCCUCUUCCUCAGGGCCUUUAAAGUAUUGAUUUGGGAGCUCCACUCUCGCCUUUUUCGUUUGUAACAAUCUUCAAAUUGUUUUGGGAGCUCCACUCUCUCUUGUUUUGUUUCCACUAGAUCAUCCAAAUUAAGGACAACAGGAUUGGUUAGAUUAUCCCCUGGGUUAGAACCUGAACCUAUUAGGAAGUUCACCGGUGUCGAGGUACCGGUCUGGUAUUGGGGUCUGAUGUUAACAAACACCCUUUGUGGAUACGCGUUUGGUUGCGCUUGGGUGUUUGUUGGGGUAAAUCUUGGAGGAUAAGAAGGGUCCUCGUUAUCGUCCCCAGAAUUAACCAUAAGGCUCUUUCCUUUUUCUAACCCUUCAGCCAGCGACUAGGUUAACUGGCUCAUAAUAUUUCUUUGAAAUUCUAGCAUCUAACCCAUCAUAUCCUCUUGAAUUUUGGCUAAUUGCUCUUACAUCUAUAUUUGCAUUUGCUCUAAUCUCUUCAACCUUUGGUCCAUUUCUUUAGUUUUUCCUCGUGUAUCGAUAUUCUAGGAUAACUGCCAAGAUUUUAGCGUCCUUUUGUAAGAUUUAGUGCAUAUGAUGCAAUGUAAUGUUAAUGCAUGAAUGUAAUAAAUGUAAUGAAUGCUUACAUUCAUGCAAAAAAGAAUAGGAGUCGAUUCUGAUUCAAUUCUAUUAGAAUAACUUUUCUAGAAAACAAAUCAUUUUACAUAAAACGUAUAUUUAUACAGCCUUACCCUCAUACUCUAGGCGAAGACAUCGAUCCCUUUCUUCAUAUUCGGAUGUUAAGAUCAAAUCUCGCGAACUUUCCAAUGGAUGCCUCUACUAGCUUCUUUUUGCUCGAUCCAGGCUGCAACCCAUUGCUCACUCAUCCUCGUAAUACUCGUAACACUCGUAUCCAUAAAGCUCACUCACCCUUUGUGGAUAGCCGGGACAUUGACGGCUCUAGAAUAAUCUUUGUCAGCUUUAAUCUUCGGGAAACAAAGCAAAGUCAUGUACUCAAUCAUCAAACUAUCACCCUUCCCUCGUUACGUUUUCUCGGACCAUAUUUGGACGACCGCAUUGUCUUCCACUUUAUCAAGAAAUCCAUUUUCCAUGAGAAGCUAUCUAUUUAGCAACUGAAUGUGAAUCAACACAUCUUUUCUAUGAUGAAAAUGCAAUGCAAUCAUAACCAAAAGAAAAGAAAAACACGUUAGUACAAAAACAUAAAUAACAAAAAGAGCACUUAUUUGGAUGAGCACUAGGGGUUCUGUGUGGUUCUACCUAGGGUAGGCUUUUAGGGCUCACUAUAUGUGGUACGGUUCUAAAAUAAGGGUACCUAAACCGACAGAUUCCUCGAUCCUUACCCAUUACAGGCUCAUAUGGAUCGAGCUCAGUUCAAGGGAACAUAUUUCCCUAUGGCUACACGGAGAUGAAGAUCUCAUAAAGACAUAAGUACGGAUGUAUCCCGAAAGCGAUCCACUAUCCUACACGGAGGUGAAGACCUCACAAAGGAAUAGUUUCUCACUCUCACUUAAAAGGGUAAGAUCGACUGAUCAUGCGAUGCAAUGUGUAGAAAGAUACCAAAAGUUAAACCAACACAACAAUUAUAAACCACAAUGAUGAAUAUCGUAAUAAAGUCGGAUGAAAUGCAACGAAAGAAUCGUAUAUUUAAACCAAGUUUUCAAUUUUCGAUAAAAAGAUAAAAAGUAAUCAACUUGUGGCCUGACUCUCUUAUUUUGGAUCCCCAGUGGAGUCGCCAAGCUAUCGAAACUAUUUUUUUUGUAAAAAAGGGUUGACUUUUUUAUUUAAAAACGAAAAUAGAGUCGCCACCAAACCUUUUUAUUUAGGUUUGAUCGGAUCACCUCAUAAUUUAAUCAUUUUAAUAAAAGUUUAAAUUUACUAAAACGAUAAUUUUGUCUACAAAAUCCAGAAAACGGGUUCGGGAGUCGGUUAUGCACAAGGAAGAAUUAGCACCCUCAAUACGCCCAAAAUUGGUACCUAGUUGAUUAAUUAAUGUCUUAAUGUCGAAAAUUAAAAAUUCAAAAAGAAUUUAAAAUACGAUCCCUCUUUAUUAAUGUUAAAAUUUUUUUAAGAAAAAAGCUUGAAUAAAUUGAAACGAAUGUCAAAGACCCUCUCGUCUCGAGAUAACAAAUGUCACAUCCUGUAAGUUAGGACAUAGCAUUUUGAACCCUCGAGAACAAGCUAGCCUUUAGAAAAAAAUUUUAUUUAAAUUUCAUGUAUUUUAAUUUUAAAAGGAUAUUUGGCUAUUUCAGUUUAACGAGAAAAUCAAAACCCUGUAAGUUAGGGUACGAUUUCUCGAAUCUCCAAAACGCGAAAUAUUACCUAUUUUUAAAAGUUUUCUUUUUGAAUUAGAAAGAAAAUUAACGCAAUUUUGAAAAUGAUAUAGGAAUAAAAUGUCAGGCUAAUAAAUGACAAUAAUACGAAUACUAAUAAAACAAUUCAUAAUACAUAUAAUAACGAUAAUCACAUAAUACACUAUGAACAAUCAAUGAAAAAUAAAUAACGAAAUAAAUAAAUAAAUAAUAAUAAUAAUAAAAAUAAAUGGGCAAAUGACCGAAAGAAAAAAAAAAUAAAAAUUAAAGAAAUAAUAACAGCAACUAAAUGAAUAAAUUCAACUACACGAGGGACUAAGCUGAAAGCAAACUAAAAUUAACAGGUCAAAUUCUCAAAAAGGUAAAUAUAACAACUUGGACUGAUUUGAAAAUGACUCCGACAGUGGAAGGACUAGGGAGAUAAAUAACCCAAAAUUGAAAACACGCGGAUCCCCCAGGAGCGGGUCGGGUCGCACGCGGGUUAAGGCUAAACGACGUCGUUUUGGGGCGUUUCAAGCUAUUCCAAAACGGCGCCGUUUUGGGGCGUUUCAAGCCUGAAAUUUUUUUUUUUAAAAAUCAUUUUCUGCUAGAGUUUUUAAAAAAAAAAAAACUUAGAACCCUUUGUAUCUCUCACCCUCCCCACUUCUGGCAUGAGACUCCGGCAAUCGGCCACCGUCUAUCAGCUGGCCACUGGCGUAGCUUCGCUAUGAGCGGUGGUCGGGACCACGCCAAACCACCUUUUUUAACCCCCUUUUUUUAGAUCUGAAGGCGAAGCCUUCCUAAAACAAAAGAGAAGGAGCCUUGACCCCGUUGGUUCGAUUUCAACGCCGGAAAAGGGGCUGCCGACGACGAAACCGGAAGGUGGUUCAGGUGAACCUUUUCUUUUUUCUUUGUAUUUUUGUAUAUAAAAAAAUAAAUAGAAAUGAAUAAAUAGAAACCUAAGAAUAAGAUAAAACAGUAAUAAAAAAAAUGAAAAUCUCCUUUUGAAGUCUUUUUUUUUUUUUUCUUAUGUUCGUAAAGAAGGGAAGAACAUUACAAACAUCAGAUUAAGGCCUUUAUAGCCGAAAUACAAAAUUCGUUUUUUGUUUUCUUUUCUAUUGUUUGCUUGUGCUUCUUUGUUUUUUUCGUUGUCUUCUCUGCUUGCGUGUUGUUUGCUGUCUUGCAGGUGUCAGACGCGUGGAUGGCCGGUGAUAGGCGAGCCUCGAGCGGCGGCAGCGUGCGGCGCAGGUGGUUCUAACAUGCGGCGCUGGAGGCUUAGGGGGCUAGGGUUUUUUGUUGUGUUUAAGUGUUGGGCUGAUUGGGCUAGGGUUAGUUUUGGGUUAUUGGGUUUUAAUUUGUAUUUGGGCUGCUAAUUUGGGCUUGUUUUAUUUAUUUGGUUUGUUUUAUUUUAGAAUCUGGCCCAGGUCAAAAUUGGCCUAUUACAGUCAAUAUUUUGUAUCAAUCGAUUUGGGCCGGCGCGUACUAAUUAUUUACCGAAAUGGACUGAAAUACACUGAACUGGCCAAAGCACAUCGAAAUUUUAACUGGAACGGAACAUAGACUAAUUGAUACUGAUUUAGGACUGAAACGAUACGUGCCGAUUACCAUAUUGCAACUUUAUAUUCUUAGCUCAUAUAUUAUUGAAUUAUCAGCAAGAAAUCCACCUUUAGUAAUUAUUUAUUAUUUGUAAAAUAAAGAUAUGUAUUAGAAUAAACAUGCGAAUGAUGGAAAUUUUUAACCAAUAUUAUCAACCAACAACUCAUAAAUUAUAAUAUAAAACAGGAGUACAAAUAUUUGAUAUACACACCACAUAAAGAUAGCAUACAUGAUUUAUAUAUCUCGCAUUAAACAUGAGAGAUACAAUGCCACCAGGCUAUGCAUGCAACAUUUAUUGAUAGUACUUAAUUAUAGGAAAACAUAAACGCAUGCAUCCUUGAAGGAAACAUGAUUUUAUUUUACUCACACACGUGCUAUCACACCACACAAGCACACACACAAUGCAAUGAAAUUUUGUGUGUUCAUAGAUUACAUAGGAUCCGGCUUCUUUCUCGGCUUCAGCUUUGUUUCUUCAGUCUCAAAGUGAAUGCUGUAGUAAUUGGAACCAGUGUAAGUGGCACCUUGAACUGCAGUAGUGACAAUGGUCCCAUCAUAAAGAGUGUCGCUUUGCAUGAAAGUGAAGGGAACAUCGCACUUACCUUUGGUUGCAAUGAGGUUAACCGUCACCUUAGUCAUAGCAGGCACAACAAUUUUGUGUACAACGUCUACUAAAGUUUUCGAUUCUUUGGUCUCUUCCCACUUGACAUCUGAGUGAAAUUCACCGGACAUUUCAAUAUUUCCCUGAGAAAUCAAUGGUACGUUGAAUUCCAUUUUAGCUUCCAUUGCUAACUUGAGUGAAAAAUUACUCUUCCAAGUACUAGUCUUGAUAUUUGUAUAUGAAAGCUUUAUGUCCAUAUGGGUGGGUUCUUGGGUAUAGUUACUAGCAAAAUUCUUGGCAAUAAUGAAGGUUGUUUCGUCGUAAACCCUGGAAUUACCAAGAUCAUAUUUGACAUCAUAGAUAUCCCUUGUCAAGACUGGCUCUUCCACCGUUAGCUUGGCUUCUUUGGUGAUGGUUGGGACAGCUGGGCUAAGCCAUUCCACGUGGUCUUGUCCUGUGAGGGUCGUGCAGAAGUUUUUGUUGGCCAGGCUGAUAAGACCUAUAGUCUUAUCGUCAAUUUUGACAGGGCGAAACGUAGUGCCAUCAUUGUUGCUAGGGUCAUCAUAUCCUACCCAAAUCCAUUUCGGGUCGGCCCACCAAAACUUUCCAGCACAAAUGGAUUUGAUGUGAACCUUUCCAUCAUCAGUAACAAAAGUCUCGCAUGCCACAGUUGAGUCACCAAUGUCAUCUGCUGAAAAUGUUAUGUAAUUUUCACGAACACACAGGUACUUGUUAUUAUAUCCUUUGAAGGCAACGUACUUUGGCAAAACCAGUAACGACUUACAAUCAAUAAUGCUGAAGAUAUCAAAGCCAUUACUAUCAAACUCCCGGUAGUUUGCCGACACGCAGCGAUUAAGUAUCAGAUCACUCCCUAGCCAUAAGCAUAAAUUGCACCCUGAUUGGACAUGCACGAUUCGUACCGGACCAGUAGCAUGGUCUAUAGGGGCAAACUUGAACAACGUACAUGUCUCCUUGGAUUGAUCUUCCUCCUUGUUUUGGGCAGUGGCGGUAAUCCAGUACUGCCCCGGUGGGACUCCAGCGAUGGAAACGGUUUUGGUUCGUUGCCAAUACUUGUUGUUUUGGCAACUUCUUAUAUGCACCAAGCCACUUGUGUCGGAAAUCUCCACUUCGAACUUAGCAUAUGGACUCACGGCUUGAGUUUCAAAGAAUUUGAGAAACCCAAGGUUGUUUUCGCCUUCACGUACAUAGCUUAAGUAGCCAUUAUUGUCGCUGGGUUUGAGGACGAUAAACUUGGGCAAGGUCAAUGCCAUUUGAAUGGAUGAUUCUCUUUGUUGUGUUUAACUUUCACUCUUGUGUUUUGCUUACCACAAAGAGCUUGGCUACCUAUUUAUAUCUAUAAUAAAAGGUUAAUAUUGUCCACCACAUGGAAAUUUUGUUAUCUCGAAGGACGGAUGGAAAGUUUAACAGGACAAAAUUAGGUAGGUAUGAAACAAAAUGAAAGUGAGAAAACGUUUAUUUAAUGAUUUAUUUAAAGAAAUUAGGUGAUUUGUUGAUUGAUUUAAGAUUUUAUAAAUAGGGUGAAUUUUUUAAAAAUAAGAAUAUUUAAAUAACUAUUUUAAUUGUAGUUUUGAAAUGAUAUUUUAUAAAUACAAUUUAUAUUUUGGAAUUACAAUUAGACUCAAUGCGUACAAUGUAUAAACAAAAUUACAAUUAUACCAGCAGGGUAAAUUGAGUUAGGGCAGACUGCAGAGGUGUCUAUUAUAUUAGAAUGUGAAAAAUGAAAAUAGUUAUGAGGUUAUUGUAUUUGGAGGCCCCAAAAUUAGGUAGCACCCAUUUAAAACCCAAAAUAAAAUAAUUUUUAUUAUGCUUUUACAUAUUCUAUAAUUAAAUAAAAAAAACCCUAAGUCUAAUUUCAAUGUCAUUUUCUCACGAAUUCAUUGCUUAUUUAUUAUUAUUGUUAAAACUUUUAAGAAUUCAACUGUUCAUCUCUUUUUUGCUUCUUAUGUAUUGUUAAAAUUUUUAAAAUUUUAGUUAUCAUUAUUAACAUUUUCAAGUUGAGUGUUUUUUUUUCUGUCAUUACACAUUAAGAGUUAUAAAAUACAAAUAAUUUAAUAUUUGAUUAUGUCCAGUGAAGAUGGAGAGUGAUUAAAUCAAGGUUUAAUUAGAUUUUUAAUAAACAUUUAUAAUUAUAUAUGUCAAAUAAAUAUAUUAAUUGCAAUUUUAUGUAUAAUUAAAAAUAAUUUUAAAUUUGUCAAAUUGUGUUUUAACAAACAUAAAAAAUUUUAUUAUUUUUAGAAGAAUUUAAUUAAAUUAUAUGAUAUUAAUCUAAAAUAUGAAACUCGGUUGGAUUUAAGCCAAAAUUAGGUAGGUAUGGAACAAAAUGAAAGUGAGUAAAAGUUUAUUUAAUGAUUUAUUUAAAGUAAUUAGCCAUUACAGUGAUUUGUUGAUUGAUUUAAGAUUUUAUAAAUAGGGUGAAAAUUUUUAAAAUAAUUAUUUUAAUUGUGGUUUUGAAAUGAUUUUUUUAUAAGUACAAUUUGCAUUUUGGAAUUACAAUUAGACUUAAUUGUGUACAAUGUAGAAACAAAAUUACAAUUAUAGCAGCAGGAUAAAUUGAGUUGGUACAGAGGUGUCUAUUAUAAAAGAAUGUGAAAAAUGAAAAUUGUUAUCAGGUUGUUAUAGUAGAAGGCCCCAAAAUUAGGUAGCACACCAGACAAAAACAGCUAGUGAAGUGGUGUAAAAUAAAUACUAUUCUAUAUAUACACACACAUAGUUUUGUACUUGCUCACCUCUUGUCAAUUUCGCUGAUCUGACUAAAAUUAUCAUGCGAGUGGUGGACUUUACGAGCUAAGGUUGAGUAAAAAACUCGAUAAUAUUGAAAAUUUGAGUUAAAAUGAUAAUUUAAUUUAGUUCAAUUUUUUUAUAGUUUGGUUUGAUUUCGAUUAGUAGCGUUAUUUAACUAUAUUAUUUUGAUUUGAUUUCAGUUUAUUUUAUUGGAUAUCGAAAAGUCUAAAAAAAUAAUACUUUUUUGAAUAUAUAAGCUAUAUAUAUUAACCCAUUUAAAACCCAAAACAAAAUUCAUUGCUUCUAAAUUCUAAAAAUAGUCUUUUAUUAUACUUUUACAUAUUUUAUAAUUAAAUAAAAAAAAUCCUAAGUCUAAUUUCAAUGUCAUUCUCUCACAAAUUUAUUGCUUAUUAUGUAUUGUUAAAACUUUUAAAAUUUUGGCUAUCAUUUUUAACAUUUCCAAGUUGAGUUUUUUUUUUUUCUAUCAUUACAUAUUAAGAGUUAUAAAAUACAAAUAAUUUAACAUUUGAUUAUGUUCAGUGAAGAUGAAGAGUAAUUAAAUCAAUGUUUAAUUAGAUUUUUAAUAAACAUUUAUAAUUAUAUAUUUCAAAUAAAUAUAUUAAUUGCGUUUUAUGUAUAAUUGAAAAGAAUUUUAAAAUUGUCAAAUUGUGUUUAAGAAACAUAAAAAAUUUUGUUAUUUUUCAGAGGAAUUUAAUUAAAUAAUAUGAUAUUAAUCUAAAAUAUAGAACUUAGUUGGAUUUAAGCCAACUUGAUUCUUUAGCAUGAAAAUGGCAUUAGUUUAAAAUGAGCACAACACGAAUGGUGUUAAAUGCUCUUCUUGUUCAGCAGGUUUUAGAGGUACAUUAAGGAAUAUUAAAAAAUAAACAUUUUUAAAUAUUUUUCCUUUCCUUUUUGAAAUUUUUAGAAUUAGAGCUAAAUUAUCAUAUUAUGUAAAUGUUGAGAGCUAAAUUUAUUGAUUUUUUAGAAUUCAAACUAAAGUGACAAAUUUUGUAAACAUUGAGGGUUAAAUUUGUUGAAUUUUUUAGAUUUAGAAUCAAAACGAUAUAAUGUAUAAAUAUUGAAAGGCUAAAUUUGUUAUUAAGCCAAUAUAAACGAGCCCAUGUCAACUUUCUGUCACUCAUCUAAAGGCAACUAAUAGGGCAGUGGCAAAAAUAUUUAAUUUUGAAAAAUUAAGUGACUAAAUCAAAAAAAUUAAUAGUUGAGUGACCAAAUUAGAAGCAAAGGCAUAAUUGGAUGACUAUUUUUUAUAGUUUUUGAUAAUUUUUCAAUUGAAUUGGAAAUUGAUUGAUGGAUAACACCAACUCAUUUAAGGGGAAAGGAUUGUAUGAAACAGUGACACCACAUCAUCUGUAUCCUUUUACCAAUAAUUUAAUACCACAUCAGCAUUUUUAUCUUGAACAAAAAAAAUCAAAUCUAAAUGAAAAUCCUGAAAGUCAAGAUAAAAUUACUGAUGCGGCGUUAAACUAUUACAAAGUAAUAAUAUUCAUAUUCAUACAAUCCUUUCUCAUCAAUCAAGAUAUAAUGGAUUCUUAACAAAAUCUUUCAUUAGUUAAAUUAAUAAACAAAACUAAGGAAUUUAGGAUGAUGUGAAGAACUGGGUUUGCUUCUUAAAUAACAUGUCAUAGCCUUGAAUUUAACAUACCAAGUAUCCAAUUUGAACUACUAAUAAAAUUACUUGAUAUGAUAAUCUAAUGCAUUUAUUGCAGAUUUUAAUGUAUUUAUUGUAACUUCUUUGUUUUUAUUCUAAUAUAGCUUGGAAAGAGUAUUUUUCAAGUAUGGAAAGGUAUUAAUUUGUUUCUUGCUUUAGCAAAGUUCGAGAAUCCUUUGACAUCAAGCUUCUCUUUAUAUAAACUAACACAAACGGCAAAUCACAUAAGAAAAACCUAAAUCUAGCUUAUUUGAGUUCAAUUUUGGGUCCUUUUUUGCUUUAGAAAUCAAUGACCAUGAUUCAAGGUCUUGUUUUAAGUUUGAUUAAAGACGAAUUGGGUUUGUCGGCAGCAAUAGAAGAUCUCCGAGAAGAAAAUAAACAUCAGGUUAACAAUCACAAGGGAAAUCAAGUAGACCGUGGCGAUGAAACCGAUGAAGGUGUUGAUUCAAGUAAGGUUGAAACGUUACAAAUAAGUCCGAUAUACUAUACACUGAGAGACCUAAUGGAUUUACAAGAUGAAGAUAUCGAUGCGUUUUCUUUUCGAAGUGUCACCGUUGUCGACAAUGCCUCUUCCUCUAAAAUUGGCUACCUCCCUCCAACAAAUGAAGGUAUUGUCUCGUAAUUUUUUAUUUUUUAUUUUUUGCAAGCAAUUGGUAUCUCUUUUCGUUUACAUUAUUCUUAUCCUUAAAUUAUAUUUAAAAAUUUAAAAAAUUAGAAUAUGUAGCAAAAUUUGAACCUCGCUUGUGAAGUUAAAUUUCAACCAAAAUGUACCAAAUAAUUAUUUUUAUUUAUACCCGAUUUUCAUUUAUAUGUUUCUACAAAUUUGUUGAAUACAAAUGAGAAAAUUAAAAAGAAAAAAUUGUAAGGGUUCUAUUUGAUUAAGGAGGUAGUAAGGUUGAUAAUUUAGUUACUUUGUCACUUGAGCGGGCAGGUUGAUUUUGAAUUAGAUCAAUAUAGAUCUAAUUAAUUUGAGUUCUAAAAUUUUUGAGUCAUUUCAUAUUCGGGUUCGGGUUAUAUUAGAUUUGUAUCAUUCAAGUUUGUCAAUCGAAUUUUUAAGUUAAUUUAUCUCAAGUUACUUACUUGAAUCCUUUCUGGUUAUACUCAUUUUUUGAGCUAUUGAGUGUAAAUUCGAAUUAAUCUGGUCUCAUUUUUGUAUUGGGCUCAAAGUUCAAUUUGUGUAACCAUAUAUUCCAUGCUCGAAUUUUUUUUCUCAGCAAAACCAGAAGUAGAAGUGAGCCUUAAUUUGGAGAAGCAAGACACUGAACUAGAGGCAUGCCUUUUAUUAAGCUUACCAGAACCAUCAUUCAGGACAUGGAUGGAACCAAGUGGUGAAACAGACACCACCAUAACUCCUGGUCCUUCAGACAACAAGACCACAAGACAUGAACCUGGCUCGAAAUCGAAAUGGAAAAAUAAGAUCAAAGAUGCCAUUGCUAAGGUAACAAAUUCAUGGAGUCCCAAGAAACAACUGCAAGCAGCUCCAAAUAUUGAUGUCGUUUUAUACGAAAUAGAUGCCAAAGGGGUACUGAAAAUGAGAUGGGAAGACGAGAAAAAAUGGCAUGCAAAACCAAAAAGAAGGCCAACAUCAUGCAUGUGCUGCCCUAAAAUAUCAAGGAUUAGGGAUUUCGUGUUAGAAGAACAUGUUUAAAAGUUAAGAAAUUUAGAACUAGAAGGAAAUAUUUUGCUGGGAUUGGUUUUUGUUGGAAUGAGAUGCAAGCUGCAACAAAGGGAAUUUAAUAGUUUUGUUCUUAAUUUUGGGUUAUUGCUAGUAGUAGUAAAAUGUGUAUGCCUAGUAGUUGUUGAGUUAAUUUUGUAGUGUAGUGUUUGUAAUGAUUAAAUGCACUAAAAUUGAUUUAUUUAAUAGUAGAGGAACUAAUUUAAUUAAAUCUUUUUUUUCAUUCAAACUUGUUAAAUAAACUUUCGAUAAAAUAACUCGAUUCAUGAACAAAAUGUGAGAAGUAAGGACAAAUAGUGGCAUGGGCUUACAUAAUAAGAAAUAUGACAAAUAUUCCACCAUAUGAUGGGCUUAUUAGGAAAAAGUGAUUUGGGGCAAGUACAUGGAAUUAUGAAUUACCAGCUUGCUAAUUGGACUCUUCAUUCUUGUCCAAGAGUCCACUAUCUUUAAUCAUUUCCCACAAGAAAAGGAAAUUUUAAAUUGAAGGACAAAAAUCAAUCCAUCAUCUAUUUAUCCUGGCAAGGGCAAAAUGUUUGGAUCACCCACUUUUUUUUUAAGGGAAAUUGGCAAGGUUGUCAAAUUUUAAUUUUAAUUUUAAUUUUAAUUUUUUAAGAGAUUAAAGUGUAAUUUUGUUAUUAUAUUAAUUUAUUAUUUUACAAAAUCUUAAAGGAUUAAAUAAUAAUUUGCCAUUUGAGGGAUAAUGGCCUCGGCCCCCAAAAUGGUAUAAUUGCUUGAACAUCUUUUUUAAAAAUGGUAAGAUUAUAACUUAAAUGUAACCUCCUAACAUUUAUAUUUUACUCUUAAUUUACUUUAAAAAAUUUCUAAUUUUGCCUCAAAUUUAUCCCAUACAUACAUACAUAACACGAGGGAUGGCAUUAAAGGGGCAGACAAUGAUCUUAACCCCCUAAGAAAAAGAUUUCUAUAUUACCUCUUAACUUUGUUUAAUAUUACAAUUUAGUAUAAAAAUAAAUUUACAUUUUGAGUCUCAAAAUUUUUAUUUUUAUUUCUGACUCCAAAAAAGACUUUCAAUUUCUUCCCAUACGAACCCAGACAGACUCAAUAAUGCAACUUCAUAUUAUCUUCUCUCAUUGUUGCAAGCUGGUAAGCAAAACCCACCCUUUUCUUUAAUUCUUUAGUUAUUCCAUUAUUCCCAGCCACCCAAACUCGUUCAAAAGCUAUAUUCCCCUUUUUCUAAAUUAAAAAAAAAAGUAAUUUAACAAUAAAAAUAAUUAUAAAUAUCAAAAUUCAAAUUCAAAUUUAUUAAAUGGUAUAUUUUAAAAAUAAUUGUCGAUCGAGUUUAAACUCGAUUGGCCAGGACAUCACUGCCAAUACAAGAAGACGUGAACUCGAGUACAUUGAAGCGCAUUAUCCUCUUAUUUAUGAAUUAGGGAGGGGUUAAGUAUAAUUCUAAACAUUAAAGAAAACAUAUAUGAUUAAAACCCAUAAAAAAACGAAAUUAAACCCAAUAUCAAAACAUUCCAAGCCCUCUCAAAUGGCUAUCUAUCCCAUCAUUCGAGCUGUAGAAAAUUAUAAUGGUACUUUUGUCCAGGACCUAAAAUAAAUAAUGUUAUAACUCGUACAAAAUUGUUGAGGAAGGAUGCUGUCACUUUAGAGACAUACACACAUUAUAAUAUUGUUAUUUGGCUGCUAUAUAACUAAAGUAUGGCCACUUUUUUUAUGUCAUUGCAGGGACCUUUGGCUUUUGCCCAUCAUCUCCUUUUCUUUUAGCUUAUUUGUAUGAUUGGAUUCUUCAGUACUUGAGGCUUAAUAGUUAAUUAUUUAACUGUGCCAUCUGCAUUAUUUAAUCUUAUUUCAUAAUGAGUGGAACCUUAAUGUUUGAUUUUGGUAUACCAGUUUUUAUUUUUAUCAGAAUUUAGUUUACAGAUGGAUGUAGAAUUAUUUAUGAGUCGGAUCAUUUAUUUAGUUUUAUAAUUUAAAAUUUUAACCUUUGUAAACAAUACCAAAAUGAAUGUUUGCAAAUUUUAUUGUAUGUGCAGGGACCAUAUUUUGGCCUGAAAACCAGGGAUUAGGAAAUUGCCUGGCUAUAUGAACCAUGGGAUGGUUCCAGCUUCCAAGUCUCAAACCUACAGCUUGCAACUGGAAAAUCUAUACACAACCAAUGGAAACCUAAGAUGGUUCCUAAUAAGGAAAAAGCAAAUUUUGAAAAUAAAAUGAAGUAGAGUAUACAAUAAGCAACAUAUAAUUUGUCAAAAUUUUGAAAAUAUAAAUGGUUUUUAGGAGGGUUUAUUGUAUAAAAGCUUUAGUAAUUCAUUUCAUUUAUUUUCAAAUAAGGCUUAAUAUCAGAUAUUGUUUUAGUUUCAUAUAUUAAUAAAUCAAACUAUGUUUUAUAUAUAUAUAAGGGUAAACUGCAUUGGUAGUCACUCAACUAUUAAAAAGUUUCUUUUUUGUCACUUAACUAUGAAAAAUUAUAAAUCUGUCACCUAAUCAUUUGACUUUUUCUUUUCUGGUCACUAGACGUUGUAAAAAUAACAUGACAACUUUUAAAAUUGGCAUAACAAUAAAUUUAGUUCUCAACAUUCACACAUUACCUAAUUUAGUCCUCAAGCAUGAAUCUUAUAAAACCGGUGAAGAGUGAACCGAUGAAGACAAAAUCAUGUUAACCAGUAGUUUCCCAUAAUCGAAGUAUCAAGAGAAAAGAAUUAAAAAAAGUGAAUUAUGAUCUUGGGUUUUUGGGUGUUUCUAUUUUUUGUAUUUUUUUAUCAAAUUUAGCUGAUGAAUUUAUUUUUUAAAGUUUUUUUAUGUGAAAUGGUCUCAAAGAAAACAAAACUAUAAAAAAGACCAAAUUACACAAUAUGUAAACAUUGAUUAUUAAUUUAAGGGUUAAAGUUGCUAUUAUACUAAUUUUAAAAAUUAACAUGUCAUUUUUCCGUCAGUCAUUUAAUGUCUAAUGACCAAAAAAGGGAAAAAAAUUAAAUAGUUAGGAUAACUAUUUUGUAACUUUUCGUAAUUAAAUAAGAAAAAAAUUUACUGAUAAUUAAGUGACCACCAAUAUAAUUUACCUUAUAAAAAAAUAAUAAUAAAAAGCCUAAAUAUCAAAUAUAAAUUCUAUCUUGAACUGGCAUUUUGACCCAAUGAUUCAAGUCUACAACUAAAAGAGCUGUUUACCCUUUGUCCUAGGUAAGGUGUCCCACACACCUAAGCCAAUAACAAAAAGUAAUUUACCAUUACUCAAGGUAAUGUGUAUAUAUAUAUAAAGAAGCUGACAUGAAUGUUAACAAUUCAAUCAAUUUUUUUUUCAUAAAAAUAAUAAUUUGAACACAAUUUAAAAAAUAAAAAAUAUUAAAAUUAAAUUUAUCUUUUUUAAACAAUCUUAUUAUAGGUUUUGGUUAUAUCUACUUUUUUGACAUAAUAUCUAGAAUUAUUCAUAGUCUUUCUCUAAUCUAUUAAUACGAGAAUAAUAUACUUCAGUGUACUCAAACUCACAUUCUCUUACAUUUUUCAUACAAAAAAUAAAAUUCAAACCUAAAAUCUAAACUAUAAAUUUUCAGAACAUCCAAACCACAAAUUUUAAAUUCUAACCGUUAUAUAUAUGAUUUCAUUGAAGACAUACAACUAGCAAAGUAAGAAUUGUACAAAAAUUUGAAUACCCUAGAAUUGAUUUCUUGUGAGUGUUGGUGAAGGAACUCAAAUUCCAAGAAUAUGUCAUGGCAAAAAAUUCCCCUUUAAAAGGGGCAUAUCAAUGAUGAUGUUUUUGUUGCCAUUUCAUAAUCCAAAAGGAACCCCACCCCCCCCCCCAAAGAAAAAAUAAUAAUAAAGCAUAGGAAUCAAUCACGCGUCUAAUGUGACAGUCCAAUUACAAUUGGGGGGAAUCUUUAAAGAAAUUGCAAUCAUAAAAUUUUAAAAAAAGGUCCCCCAACUUUCACACUCACCACCGCCGAGCUACCUUCUUUCUUGAUGUUGGGUUGGUGAAUUACAUAUAUUCAACCAUUUCCCCAUUUCUUUAGUACUAUCAACCAACAACAUUCAUGAGAAAACGUUAGCAUUUGUCAAGUCAUGGCAUUUUAUGAAAGAGAAUGGAAGAGUGUUUCAAUUCGGUGUCAAAAUAAUAUAAAGUAUAAUAAAGGGGAGGAAGUUAAGAUUGAAUCGUAAAUUUUUUAAGAGUAAUUGAUUAAAAAUUUCACACUUUUGGAGGAUUAAAAGAACAAUCUUACCGAAUUAAGGGAGGCCAAAGUCCGUCAUUAACUUCUUUCCAAAAGACAUGACUGAUAAGAUUGCAGCAUAAUCGUUUAUCUAUCUCAGGACCUUCCUUUUUUUGUAAUAUGGGAUUUCUACGCGUUACUUAUUUCUUUAGAACAUUUGGCAUGACACUUGCGUGCUUGCCUAAGUAUGAGCAUAAGUAGUUGUGAUAAGCCAUGUCAAGCAUUCUAAUUAAAUAGAUAAAUCAACUAAUCAUAGCGAAGUAUGGCGAGUGUUGAAGUAAAUGAUGAAGUAAAGAAUUUGUUGGGUUUAACUUAAAUUAUUAAUUUUUAAAAUAAAAGUGAAAAUGUAUGAAAUACUUUGCAUCCAUAUUCCCUAAUUGUUUUGAGAUUUAAAUAGUGUAGAAGAAGAGUAAGGUAAUUCAAUCCUACAUUGAAAAAUGAAAGUAUGGAUCUUUAAUUAAUUGCUCCUAUAAAUUAGAUAAUGAUAACAAGGCACAAGCACACAUACCUCUUCCAUGCAUUUCUUGCAACCACUAAAUAUUCGCAAGCAUACAUACCUUUUGGAAUUGUUUAAAUUUUGAUGUAAGCCCUUGUACUAUUUUGUCGAUUUAUUUUAAUUUAGUCAUUUUUUAUCCAUGUACUUUGUGAAUUUUAACAUUUCAAUCUAACCAAAUGAUAACUGUUACAUUCAUUAAGUUUUAUUAAUUUCCAAACUUGAUGUGGCAAACAUAUUUUCAAAUGUGCGACAGCUUACUAUCUCUACAUUUUAUUAAAAAAAAAAGUCAGAUAAUGGAUUUAAAGAUAGUUGUUUGCAUUAAGAUUGAAAUUUCAAAAUUCGAAAUGUAGAGGGACUAAGAAUGCUCCAAUUGGAGAAAAUUGACUAAAUUUACAACGUUAUGCAUAGUACAUGACUAAUAGUAGAAUUUAUCCAAACGAGUUUGGUUGUUACUAUUUGGUCUAGACUAAAAUUGACCAAUUCGUAAAGUACAAAAACCAAGGGCAAAGCCAAAAAAAAUUUUAGGGGAGCGGAAUUGAAUUAUAAAAUUUUUAAAAGAAUGUAAUUUUACCAUGUAAUUUUUUAAGGGACUAAAUAGAAUUUUUUAAGGGACUAAAUAGAAUUUUUUUCAUUUUUAGGAGGCCAAAAUGUAAUUUUAUCAUAUAUUAAUUUACAAUUUUAUUAUUUUUAGAGGGACUGAACUAAACAUUUGCAUUUUUAGGAGGGCCAAUCCCCUGUCAAUCUCCUAGCUUUUCUUCUAACAAAAACUAAAAAUAAUCAAAUUAAAGUAUACAAAGCCGGAAUUAAAACGAAUAUAUCAAAAAAAUUCUAAUUUAAAUAUAAUAUAUAUUGAUUUACUUUUUUUAAUGCAAUAUUAGUUGUGAUUUUAUGCAAAAUUUCAAAUACGUUGCAUGCAUGUAUCUUUUAUAACAAAAAUAAUAAUAAUUUUUAUUUAAGUCCCCUAAUAUUUAAACAAAUGGUCCCCCAAGGGAUAGAGAUUAUCUCAAUUUCACAUUUGAAAGAGCUAUAAAUAAUGAGACAAGUAGGAACCCAACUAUAUACAUGAGCUGUUCAAAGCUAUUGCUUUUGGUUUCAUUUAAUUUUGAAUCCUAACCUUCAAAUCAAUAUCAUUCAUUUGCCUAAUUUAUUUCAUUUACUUUUCUUCCUACAUUGUAGACAUUUAGUUUUAAUAUACCUAUCAACUUACAUAAAUUAUUCGGUUUCGAUUCGAUUGAUUCAAUUUAUCGACAAUUUCUUAAUUAAUAAUACAAUUAAUUAAAUUUGAAACUCUAUUCAAGUGAUUAAUUUACUCGUGUAUUAUUACCAAAUUAAUAUAUAUAGAUAAUAAAUAAAUUUAAAUAAACAAAUUUUUAUUCUGAAUCAUUAAUAAAAUAUAUUAUAAAUAAAUUUAGAAGUACAUUUUUCAUUUUCUAUUGGCUCAGUUAUAUUGCUUCUUUAAAGAAAUGGAAAGCACCUACCUACAUAAUGAUUUGAUCGUACCUUCUUUGAGAUUUUAACCCUAUAAAAUAUUGAGAUUGUCUCCUUUGAGUUUAUAUUUUAAGAAUUUUAUACCACAUUAUUUGUGUGCAUAUAUAUAGAUUUGUUCUUGAUAUUUUUGGGACCUUAAGUAAAACAAUAAAUUGGAACUCCUUUUAAAAAAUUUAUAAAAUUUAAUACAAUAAAAUAAAAAGAUUGGGCCCUUUUUUUUCUAUGUACAAUGAAGCGUCGAUCAGAAAACAUAAAAGGCUAAAGAUUUUUUUCGACAUUAAAAGCUAAAGAAAAUUUUUUUUGGCCCCUACCAGCCCUGAGCCCUGGGUGGCCGCACUAUCAAACUACCCCAGGGUCGGGCCUACAUAUAUAUAACAAUGCCUCUAGCUUACAUGCAAAAGCACAUUCAUGAAUUUUUUUUUAGAGGGUCAGAUUUAAAUUAUAAAUCUUUAAAAAGAACUCAAAUGGAAUUUUAUCAUUUAAAAUGUUAUUAUUCUUUGAUGGAUUAAAUUAUAAAUUUUCAUUUUUGAACGGAUCAAAUUUUAAAUUUAAAUUUUAAAGAGGUCAAAAUAUAAUUUUACCAUUAGAUUAACUUAAACUUUUACACAUUUUAAAGGAACUAAAUUAAAUUUUUUCUAUUUUGAGGGUCAUGGCUAGCAUACCCCACAAGCACCACCCCAUGUAUUUCUAGAUUUAUCCAAGUUUUUUUUUAAAAAAAAGAUAAACUAUAUCCGAGGUCAUUAAAUUAUUAGUUAAUUUACGUUUUGAUCUUUGAAUUUUAAAAAAGUUAUAUAAAUACAUUUUGACUUUUGGAUUGUUAAUUUUUUUAAAAGAAGAAGUCUGGCUAGUGUUGUUUUCAAUUGAGGGCUCAAUUGAUUAUUGAAUUAUUUUCAAGGGGCUUUUUUAUAUAAUAAACCUAAUAAAAAAAAGGUUACAUAUUUAUAUAACCAAGGGAUUUACUUUAAUUGGCCAUUAUCCAUGGUGGAGAAUAAUUGGAAGGAUAUAAUAAUACAUCAUUUGGUGCUAAUGUGAAUAUAAUUAUGUAACACUAAUUGCAUCCAGCAAUAUAGCAUUUUAGAUAGGUAAUUGGUUUAUAUAAUUUUAGCUAUCAUCAAUUAUGGUCAAUCAUUGCUAUAUAAAUACGUUAUUAUUUUAAUCAUGGUUUUUAUAUGUGAUGUUAAACUCUAUAUAUAAUGAGAGAUAAUCUUUUUAUGGAUCAUGUUAUUGGUCGGUUUGUGGGUUUAAUCGAUCCGAUCAGUUAAUUAAUUUAUUAAUUUAUUUAUCCAAAAGGCUUAAUUAUUCAUUCGAUUUAAUUAAAUAGUUUAUUAAAAAUUAAAAACUCGAUUUAACCGAUUUUAUCUUAAUUUAAUCAAUUUGUACCAAUAUUUGGAUCAACAGUUUGAUACCCUUCCCCAAACCAGUUCAAACAACCUUGCUCUAAAGUAUAAAUAUCUAUAGAUUGGGUUCAUGUCAAGUUUAUGUAUCACAUCAACACCAUAUAUAAUUGUGCAAGUUUUGAUUUGAAAUAUAGGUAUAAGAUUAUUAUAAAUUAUUUUUAUUUAAUAUUUACUAUUUUAUAUACUUUUUAUUAAACUUUCAUAAAGAACUUAAAUAUUUUUAAUAUUAUAAUUUAAUUUCCAUAUAAUAUAAAAUAUGAUAUAUAUUGAAAAAUGGGUCAACUAGAGCCUAAUUGUCAAGUUUAGAAUCUAAGCUUAAUCCAUUUUUUAAAUAAAACAAUUUUUUAUCCGAGUCUAGUUUUCAAGUCUAAUAAAGGAAAACUCUCUCAAAUAUUAGUUCUAGAAGAAUUAAAAAUCAAAGCUUAGUUGUGAAUUUUAGAACACAAUCUAGAUUUAUAUUUUAAACUAGCUUAAUUUUUAUGUUUAAGUCUAAUAUUUUUUAAAAUUCUCAAAAAUAUUGAACAAGCCUUCAAGCUUAAACAAUAGUCUUAGACAGAAAUAAACAUAAUCAAAUCGAAAACAAAAGAGAAUAAAUUUUAUAUAAAUACAAAUUUUGUAGUAUAAAAAUAAAUAAAAAUUAUUUAAGGGUUAUUAAGGGUCUCUUUGGACGGGUGUUUAUUUCUAAUACAGUGUAUUUAAUUUUUUAUUUCACAAUAAAAUAUCGUUAUAAUAUCUAAUCUCAACACUAUAGCUAUUUUUACAUUAGCUAUAACCAUAAGUAAAUAUACUACUCAUCUAAAAGGCAAUAGCUGCAUGAUGAUGAUGACACAAAGGUUUUCUAGUAAUAGCAACGAUUUCUCUUACUUUUCCAAAACAGGUCACUGAAUAUCUGGUCCUUCAUUUAUUUUCUUUUUCUGACCUUUUCCCAAGUAAAAUAAGUAGAUAAAGUAUUGCAUAUUACCCCAUAAAGAUUAUGUUACCAACUGUGAAUGUGUGUGCAUAGUGAAAUCGAAACCAUGCGUGAUUUCACACCUCAUCUAAAUUGGUUCCAUUAUCAUGGGGUCAAAGCUAUUGUCAUAGGGUUCAGAAAAAAUGUGAGCUUAGGAUCUUAGCCUCUUUGGUUUUAUGCACUUAUUUUUAAGUGAUGGGUUUCAAAUAAAUUUGUACUCAAAUCUGGGCAUUUGCCACCGAUUAAUUCAAACUUUCUUUUUAUCAAAAAUGGGUUUAAGAGAGAUAUGUUUAGGGUAAAUUGUAUAGUUAGUCAUCUAAGUAUUAACGGAUUUCUAUUUUGGUCAAUAUCAAAUUAUAUAUUUUUUUAUUUUCAGUCAUCAACGUUAUCAUUUGUUUAUAUUUUAGUCACUCUCUGUUGAAUCAUUAAUGGAAAUGAUGGUAUUAAUUGCUAUAAUUACACAUUUAUUCCUAAACAUUUAUACAUUCUAUCAAUCACGGGCGAAGUCAGGAAAUUUUUUGGAGGGUAAAAUUAAAUUGUAUGUUUUUAUGAUACUUAAAAUACAAUUUCUACAUUUUAAUAGCUUAUAUGUUUAUAAUUUUUUAAAGGACUAAAUCAAAAUUUUAUUAUUUUAGUGGGUGAAGUGCAAUUUGACCUAUACUAACUUAAAAUUUUAUAAAGUGUAAAGAGUCAAAAAUAAAAAUUUUCUACUUUAGGAGGACCAAAGCUCCUACCAGCUCCCACCAUCAUCCCUACUAUCAAUUUAAUUCUCAUUUUAAAAAAAUAAAUAAAUUUAGCUCUUUAUAUUUCUAAAUUUCUAUCAAUUUGUAACAUGGGAAAGCAAAAAUUGCAUAAUAAUUAUUCUGACAUUCCACAAGGAUGAGGUAGAUGAUGACAAGUCAUCUUGUGAAAUUAGGGCAUUGAUGUUAGUCAUCCCUACUUGUUGCAUUUCCAUGUUACAAAUUAAAGAAAUUUAUAAAUAUAAAGGAUUAAAUUUAUUAAAAUAUUUAAAAUUAAGAUUAAAUUGAUAGAAUAUAUAAAUAUUGAGGAUUAAAUAUGAAUUAUACUAAAUUAAAAAUUAGGUAAAAUUCAUAUACACACAAUGGUACAUAGCUUCCACAAUUUCAAGACAUCCCUUCACAUGAUCAUCACAUUUUCCUUUAUAAAAAUAAAUAAAUAAUAGCUGUAAAAAUUUGAAAAAUAAUAAAUAAAAAAAUAAAAUUCCAUCUUUCUUUUUCGUGUGCAAAGGAGCGAUAAGAGUCACGCAAAGCCUGCGAAUGUACCCAAGGUAUUUUUCUUUUGCAGUUUGCAUUAUAAUUUCAAAACUCAAAAUUGUGUUCAUUUUGGUCCUUGAUCUAUUUUCUACCCAUCAAUUAUCACUAAUUUCACACAAUAACUGUUUAAUAAAUAUAAAAUGAUAUAAUGUAGUGUUCUAGCUUAAUUACUUUUUCAAAACACUUGGUGUCACUUUCAAUUUUUCAACCAUCUAGACAACAACAUUUAUCUUAAAUAUUAAAAAAAAAUCAAAAUCCACGAAUCUAGACAUUAAUUCUCGAUUCAACCGAUACGAUUACCGGACUCAUUGCCUUGGUGUUUUGUUUUUAUUCAACCGUGCUUCAAAAUUUGACAAUUUUCUUGACACAAGGUCAAAAAAUUGUCCUAAUGAUGGGAUUUUAUAAUCUAAUUUGAGUAAAGAUUUUGUUUUGAGGUUUUAAAAUAAGGGGAAAUUUACCUAAGAGUUUGAAAUGUGAUACAUAUAAAACCAAAAAACCAUAUCCAACGGUCAAAGAGACAGUGAUACAACAAAACCCUAGUGUUCUCGUGACUCUCUUAAUUUUUUUUUUUUAAGAUUAUUCCCAUUUUGAAAAGGUAGAAAAAAAACACACACAUUAAAACCAUUGAACAUGUCUCAAUCAAACAUGAUAGUAAUACCAUUAACAUGUCUAAAUCAAGCAUGAUAAUCCUAGAGGGAUUAUUAUUGGUGAAGUUUUUUUUUUCUUUUGUAGAUUGACGUCAAAGUUAUCUCUAAAAUUAGGUAUAUAAAACAAUAUGAAUUAUAUUAAAUGUUAUUAUUAGUUGGAAUAGUUAAUACCGGAAUUUUGGUUUAAAUGGCGGGAUUUUUUUAAUAAAAACAUUUCUUCCGACUCAAAAAUAACAUAAAAUCACGUCAAUAUGAUAAGUUGAAAGUGGUAUUUCUAGGAAAAAUUCAUGCCAACAUUAAGGGACGAAGUCAAAAUUUUAUUUUAGGAGGGGUCGAAAUUAAAUUGUAAUUUUUACAAUAGUAAAAGUGUAAUAUCACCAUUUUAAUAGCCUAUAUCUUUAUAGUUUUUAAAGGAUUAAAUAAUUUUUUUAUUAUUUUUAAAGGGCCUAAAUAGAAAAUUUUUCAUUUUAGGGGGGUCGGGUCCCUGCCAAUCCCCUAACUAUGCCCCUGUCAACACUUUAAUUAGAACAAUUAACGGUGUUAAUUAACUAUUUGGAUUAACUAAUUAUUUUAUAGAAGUAGAUUUCCAAAUCAAUAUUUUCAGGUUGAAUCGAUAAUUAAUGGUUCAACCAGUUCGAUCAGUUAAUAUAUAAUACAGAAUAAAGAGAACCAUUGUGAUUUAAUUAAAAUCGAAACUGGCUUUGGGUGAUUUUGUUCCAUAUUUAUUGCCCAAAUGUUAGAAUUUGUAUUUAUAAAUUUCUCUAGAAUUUUUUGAAUUUUUUAAUCAUUAUUUAACAUAUUGAAUUAGGAACCAAUUGUUUAACCAUAAUCUAAUUCUUAUAACAUUAAACUAAUUUAUACUAAAUUAAAGUAUAUGAACUGAACUGCAAAUUUAAGCAUAGUAGAGGGACCAGAAUAAAAAUGUGUUAAAGAAGAAUUUCCAGGCAAUAGACAAUGACUCGGAUACCAUUUUGAACACAUGGCAAACGUUGAAUGGCUAGAAAAUACAUAUAAUUAGUGGUCCAUCAUGGCUUAAACUAAAGACACUUAUUCCCCAUCCAUGAUCCUAGUUGUCAUCCACCCACCUAUUUUUAAGCAAAUCAUAGUGAAGGGACCCCCAUCCUUCUACCUCAUUUCCAUGGGAAACAAAAUCAUUCUACAUACUUUUUCUCACAUAAAACCAAAUCAAAACCCCUUCCUUUUUUUCCUCAUUUAUUAUUCUUUGGGUUAAUAUAAAUUUUAGUCCCUAAACUCGACAAUUAAGUCAAUUUUGAUACUUAUAUUUUUUUGGUCCAUGUUAAAAUCUAAACUUAAGAACUAGGUCCAUUUUGGUCUUUGAACUCGGAUUCCAUCAUAAUUUGAUGACAUGGCACUCCAAUAUUGUGCCACAUCAUCACCUAAAAUUUAAUAAAUAAUUUUUAGGUGAUGACAUGACACAAUCUCGAAAUGCCACAUCAUCGAACUUUUACUUUUUGCUAAGUUCAAGUGCCAAAAAUGGCAUGGUUACCUUAACUGGACCUAACUGGUCGGUUGAGCCGGUUGGACUAAGAACUAGUUGGGGUACUAAUCCGAAGAAAUCCUUUUAACCAAUUAAUUUGGGAAUCGAUACGGAUCGGUUGAAUCAAGUGAUUGAACCAAAAUUUUUUAUUUUUAAUGUUUUUGUAUGAAUUUUUUAAUGAUUAUUUAAUCGAACUGGAUAGAUCGAUCGAACUAGUCAAACCGAUGGCCUAACCAGUUCGACCACUAGUCCAAUUUUGAAAGUAUUGCAAAAUGGACCUAGUUGUUAAGUUUAGUUACCAAAGUGGAUAACAAAAAAGUACAUGUGCCAAAAUGAACUUAAUUGGCAAGUUUAGGGACUAAAAGUUAUAUUAAUCCAUUUCUUUAUUUAUAUAGUUUAGUUCCCUUUUUUUGCUAAAACCCAAGAAAAGUUUUCAAAUUCACCCUUCCCCGGAGGCACAAAACAAAAGCUUCCAAACAUCCAGCUUUCAUUGUAUUUUGCUAAGCUGUCACCAGCUUUCCUAUUAGGCUCUCUCCCUCAGUUAUUGCCUCACGCGUUACCCCCACCUCUCCAUACCAUCAAACCCCCACCCCCCUUCUUUCAUUUCCCUAUAUAAAUACACCCUCUCUUUGAAAAAUAUCCACAAAACCCCUCUCUUCUUCUCUCUUUUUCUCAUUCAUUCUUUAGUUUCAAUAUCAAAGCAAAAAUGGGUUCUUCUUGUAAUGUUGUUUCAAUGGCCUUACUGGCUUGUUUGGUGUUGAACUCCUUGGUUUUUGUUGCCCACGGUGGUGACUUUUACCAGGAUUUCGACCUAACAUGGGGUGACAGAAGAGGCAAGAUUUUCAAUGGUGGCAAGCUCUUGUCUUUGUCUUUAGACAGGGUUUCAGGGUCUGGUUUUCAAUCUA